Molecule: small RNA, 124 nt
Filed under: Marmota monax (woodchuck)
Lineage: Eukaryota; Metazoa; Chordata; Mammalia; Rodentia; Sciuridae
Source: RNAcentral
GCUAGGUGAGGUGGUGCAUGCCUGUAAUCCCAGUGUCUCAGGAGGCUGAGACAGGAGGAUCAUGAGUUCAAAGCCAGCCUCUGCAACAGUAAGGUGCUAAGCAACUCAUGAGACCCUCUCUCUA